UGAAAAGUGGGGGGGAGGAGCGGCGGUAAGUGGUGGGGGGGGGGCGUGAGUCGGAAUGACUGUGCGUAAUGCGGGAGCAUGGUGCGCGGUAAGACAGUUGUGAAGUACCCGGGCGUAACCGGGGAAUGGCGGGUGUGGCUGCAGUGCUCGAGGGCGGCAGAGGGGGGUGGAAGUCCACGUGUAGCAGUGAAAUGCGUAGAGAGGUGGAGGAACACCGAUGGCGAAGGCAGCCCCCUGGGUCGACACUGACGCUCAUGCACGAAAGCGUGGGGAGCAAACAGGAUUAGAUACCCCGGUAGUC
Molecule: ribosomal RNA, 301 nt
Filed under: uncultured Sulfophobococcus sp.
Lineage: Archaea; Thermoproteati; Thermoproteota; Thermoprotei; Desulfurococcales; Desulfurococcaceae
Description: partial 16S ribosomal RNA
Rfam family: Bacterial small subunit ribosomal RNA (bases 53-301)
Source: RNAcentral